This 315-nucleotide long non-coding RNA is filed under the name Struthio camelus australis. RNAcentral's name for it is "lncRNA (ENSSCUG00000004540.1)". The record is from RNAcentral. Lineage: Eukaryota; Metazoa; Chordata; Aves; Struthioniformes; Struthionidae.
AUGAACCUCCUCCUCCCAUGCUUUUCAGCUUUCCAGUGUUGCCUUAUGUUCAAAAUAAGGCACUAUAUGUUAGCCUUGAGUCUCUUGCUCAUGGAUCAUCCCCAGGCGAGACAGAGGACCAAAGGAGAGACAGAGGAUUCGGUGCCAGCUGGAUUGCAUGGAAAGGCCCAGGCUGAGGCUUGCUAUACGCUUUUGGCAGAGCCAAACUUUGUUGCAGCAUCACACUGCAUCUGCCAUACUGCUCCAGUAUCCAAGCUAUGCGUAGCAAAAGCUGACAGUUGCAUGGGGUUAGCAAGAAACUUUCUCUGCUGGUAA